This 1016-nucleotide ribosomal RNA is filed under the name uncultured bacterium. RNAcentral's name for it is "bacterial SSU rRNA". It matches the Rfam family "Bacterial small subunit ribosomal RNA", at positions 357 to 1376 of the family's 1533-position model. The record is from RNAcentral.
AGGAAUAUUGGUCAAUGGACGAGAGUCUGAACCAGCCAAGUAGCGUGAAGGAUGACUGCCCUAUGGGUUGUAAACUUCUUUUAUACGGGAAUAAAGUGGAGUAUGCAUACUCCUUUGUAUGUACCGUAUGAAUAAGGAUCGGCUAACUCCGUGCCAGCAGCCGCGGUAAUACGGAGGAUCCGAGCGUUAUCCGGAUUUAUUGGGUUUAAAGGGAGCGCAGACGGGGGAUUAAGUCAGUUGUGAAAGUUUGCGGCUCAACCGUAAAAUUGCAGUUGAUACUGGUUCCCUUGAGUGCAGUUGAGGCAGGCGGAAUUCGUGGUGUAGCGGUGAAAUGCAUAGAUAUCACGAAGAACCCCGAUUGCGAAGGCAGCCUGCUAAGCUGUAACUGACGUUGAGGCUCGAAAGUGUGGGUAUCAAACAGGAUUAGAUACCCUGGUAGUCCACACAGUAAACGAUGAAUACUCGCUGUUGGCGAUACACAGUCAGCGGCCAAGCGAAAGCAUUAAGUAUUCCACCUGGGGAGUACGCCGGCAACGGUGAAACUCAAAGGAAUUGACGGGGGCCCGCACAAGCGGAGGAACAUGUGGUUUAAUUCGAUGAUACGCGAGGAACCUUACCCGGGCUUAAAUUGCAGCGGAAUGUAGUGGAAACAUUACAGCCUUCGGGCCGCUGUGAAGGUGCUGCAUGGUUGUCGUCAGCUCGUGCCGUGAGGUGUCGGCUUAAGUGCCAUAACGAGCGCAACCCUUAUCUAUAGUUACUAUCAGGUCAUGCUGAGGACUCUAUGGAGACUGCCGUCGUAAGAUGUGAGGAAGGUGGGGAUGACGUCAAAUCAGCACGGCCCUUACGUCCGGGGCUACACACGUGUUACAAUGGGGGGUACAGAAGGCAGCUACCUGGCGACAGGAUGCUAAUCCCUAAAACCUCUCUCAGUUCGGAUUGGAGUCUGCAACCCGACUCCAUGAAGCUGGAUUCGCUAGUAAUCGCGCAUCAGCCACGGCGCGGUGAAUACGUUCCCG